AGGACGAACGCUGGCGGCGUGCUUAACACAUGCAAGUCGAGCGGUAAGGCCUUUCGGGGUACACGAGCGGCGAACGGGUGAGUAACACGUGGGUGAUCUGCCCUGCACUUCGGGAUAAGCCUGGGAAACUGGGUCUAAUACCGGAUAUGACCUCAGGUUGCAUGACUUGGGGUGGAAAGAUUUAUCGGUGCAGGAUGGGCCCGCGGCCUAUCAGCUUGUUGGUGGGGUAAUGGCCUACCAAGGCGACGACGGGUAGCCGACCUGAGAGGGUGACCGGCCACACUGGGACUGAGACCACGGCCCCAGACUCCUACGGGAGGCAGCAGUGGGGAAUA
Molecule: ribosomal RNA, 335 nt
Filed under: uncultured soil bacterium
Lineage: Bacteria
Description: bacterial SSU rRNA
Rfam family: Bacterial small subunit ribosomal RNA
Source: RNAcentral